Molecule: long non-coding RNA, 764 nt
Organism: Andrographis paniculata
Lineage: Eukaryota; Viridiplantae; Streptophyta; Magnoliopsida; Lamiales; Acanthaceae
Exons: 3
Source: RefSeq, a predicted model, not a curated record
CAAUAGAGUUCUCUCUUCCCCGUUUGCUUAAAAUUUUCGAGAGGCAAUUAUUCAGUGGAUAUUUGUGGAGAGAUUAGUGAGUUUGUUAGGUGUGAUUUUCUCUAUUUUUGAGUUGUUUCACUAGGGAUCAGGGUUUUUUGGAUAGGAUAGAGGGUCUUUGGUGCCUUUGGACCGAGUUCGAUGGUCCCUGUUUUUGCCUCCUUUUGUUAAUAAGGUUUGAAAGAGAAUUUCAGGUCGGAUGUUUGACAGAGAAAAGGAUGGAUGAUUUAAAGUCAUUGCCCGAGGAUGAAUGGUUCUGUGGUGAACAAUGCAACAUGAUGCAUUCACCUCUUCGGAAGUUUUCUGCCGACGGAAAUUUGAAGCUUCCCAGAACUGUUGUGAAGAUUUUGAAGAAGAAAGUUAAGGGAAAAGCUUCAACGCCGAACCCAUAUUAAUUGGAGUGCAGCUCUCACUCUCAAUGAUAUUGGGGUUUCUGGAAGAUAAACUGGUGCGAGUUGGUCAUUUUAUUUCUCUCUCAUCCUACUGCACAUUAAUAAAUGCAAUGAAAAGGUGGUGAUGGAUCUCUAUCCUAAUUGGGUAUUGUAUCAAUUUCAUGUCAACAAAAGACUAUAGAAAACAUAUAAAGCAACGAGUUGGGUAAUAUAGUAAUUAUGAAUAAUUAAUUUAAUAAAUAAAAAUAAAUGAAAGUUCUUAUAUAAUAAUUUGUUUAAAGUGUAUAAUAUAGCUAUUGACAAUAAUGAAUAGUGAAUUGGUGAUCAUGUUAC